RNAcentral lists this ribosomal RNA (323 nucleotides) under Clostridioides difficile. RNAcentral describes it as "partial 23S ribosomal RNA". It matches the Rfam family "Bacterial large subunit ribosomal RNA", at positions 13 to 338 of the family's 2925-position model. Lineage: Bacteria; Bacillati; Bacillota; Clostridia; Peptostreptococcales; Peptostreptococcaceae. The record is from RNAcentral.
AAGGGUGCAGGGCGGAUGCCUUGGCACUAGGAGCCGAUGAAGGACGUGAUAAGCUGCGAUAAGCUUCGGGGAGUUGCACGUAAACUUUGAUCCGAAGAUUUCCGAAUGAGGAAACUCACUUAGAGUAAUGUCUAAGUAUCAUUAAGUGAAUACAUAGCUUAAUGAGGGGAACUCAGGGAACUGAAACAUCUAAGUACCUGAAGGAAGAGAAAGAAAUUCGAUUCCGUAAGUAGCGGCGAGCGAACGCGGAUUAGCCCAAACCAAUAAAGUUUUCUUUAUUGGGGUUGCGGACAUAUCAUAACGAAGAGGUAUCGUAAUUGAAG